This is a non-coding RNA of Microcebus murinus (gray mouse lemur), 548 nucleotides long. The record is from RefSeq and is a predicted model, not a curated record. Lineage: Eukaryota; Metazoa; Chordata; Mammalia; Primates; Cheirogaleidae.
AUGCUUCAGUUGAACUCCCAUAACACCCUCUGGGGAGUGCUCCCGGCAAGAUGGCAGCCACCGCGGGCUCAGUCAAUUUAUGAAAACCGAAUAUACAGCCUUAAAAUAGAAUGUGGACCUAAAUACCCAGAAGCACCCCCCUUUGUAAGAUUUGUAACAAAAAUUAAUAUGAAUGGAGUUAAUAGUUCUAAUGGAGUGGUGGAUCCAAGAGCCAUAUCAGUGCUAGCAAAAUGGCAGAAUUCAUAUAGCAUCAAAGUUGUCCUGCAAGAGCUUCGGCACCUAAUGAUGUCUAAAGAAAAUAUGAAACUCCCUCAGCCACCUGAAGGACAGUGUUACAGCAAUUAAUCAAAAGGAAAAACCACAGGCCCUUCCCCUUACCCCCAUUCGAUUUAAGAAGUCUUCAUUUUCCACAGUAGUAAAUUUUCUAGAUAUGUCUUAUAGACCUCAAAGUACUAGAAAGGAAGCUCCCAUUCAAAGGCAAUUUAUCUUAAGAUACUGUAAAUGAUACUAAUUUUUUGUCCAUUUGAAAUAUAUAAGUUGUGCUAUAA